GGGUACGAUCAUACCAGCUCUGAUGCAAUGGAUCCCAUCAGAACUCCGCAGUUAAGUGUGCUUAGGCUAGAUUAGUACUAGGUUGGGUGACCUCCUGGGAAGUCCUCAUGUUGCACCCA
This 119-nucleotide ribosomal RNA is filed under the name Gossypium hirsutum (cotton). Lineage: Eukaryota; Viridiplantae; Streptophyta; Magnoliopsida; Malvales; Malvaceae. RNAcentral also lists the same sequence under 1 other name. The record is from RNAcentral.